Molecule: non-coding RNA, 23 nt
Filed under: Arabidopsis thaliana (thale cress)
Lineage: Eukaryota; Viridiplantae; Streptophyta; Magnoliopsida; Brassicales; Brassicaceae
Source: RNAcentral
ACCCGUGAACUGUGGUUGGAUCC